ACGAAGGCGGCAAAGGCGACGGAAUGGAGGAGGUGCCUCACGGUGAGCUCGCGGAGGGGGCGUGGGUGGCGGGGCGAAAGUGUCACGAGCUGCUCUAACUGUGGUCUUGUCUCUGCGCAGACUGUCCAGGGGCCGACAGCGCCCAGGCGGGCAGAGGGGCUUCAUGUCAGGGAUGCCCCAACCAGCGGCUGUGCGCUUCUGGAGCAGGGGCCACUCCAGACCCGGCUAUAGAGGAAAUCAAAGAGAAAAUGAAGACCGUAAAACACAAAAUCUUGGUAUUGUCUGGGAAAGGCGGUGUUGGGAAAAGCACAUUCAGCGCCCACCUUGCCCGUGGCCUAGCAGAGGAUGAAAACACACAGAUUGCUCUUCUAGACAUCGAUAUAUGUGGGCCAUCGAUUCCCAAGAUAAUGGGAUUGGAAGGAGAGCAGGUUCACCAGAGUGGCUCAGGCUGGUCUCCAGUGUACGUGGAAGACAACCUGGGGGUGAUGUCAGUGGGCUUCCUGCUCAGCAGUCCUGAUGACGCUGUUAUCUGGAGGGGACCCAAGAAAAACGGCAUGAUCAAGCAGUUCCUCCGAGAUGUGGACUGGGGAGAGGUUGACUACCUCAUUGUGGACACCCCACCUGGAACGUCGGAUGAACACCUCUCAGUCGUCCAGUACCUGGCCGCGGCACACAUCGAUGGAGCAGUGAUCAUCACCACUCCCCAGGAGGUGUCACUCCAGGAUGUCCGGAAAGAAAUCAACUUCUGCCGCAAGGUGAAGCUGCCCAUCAUCGGGGUGGUGGAGAACAUGAGUGGCUUCAUCUGUCCUAAAUGCAAGAAAGAAUCUCAGAUAUUCCCUCCCACAACCGGGGGCGCGGAGCUCAUGUGCCAGGACUUGGAGGUCCCUCUCCUCGGCAGAGUGCCCCUGGAUCCACUCAUAGCAUUAUAAAACACCAGGCAGCUUUUGCAGUGGCCGGAAGUGGUGAUGAGAGCUGCCCUCUGAGGCCCCUGGAGGCAGUUGGGCUGCAUGAAUGGAUGUGACUGGGGACAGGAGCUUGCAGCAGCCCAGGGCACAUCCAUUCCUGCCAGCCUGUACCUCUGCCACAGUUCAGCUCUGCCAAGAUGGGAUUGGUGGGCAGGACGUUUGUCAGGGGAAAUAUCUGUGGGAGAAAAUGACAAGGGAGAGCCUUAGCCCACGAUGAAGGAGCCAGAGAAGGAAUAUAUCAGCCCU
This 1211-nucleotide small RNA is filed under the name Pongo abelii (Sumatran orangutan). RNAcentral describes it as "processed transcript". Lineage: Eukaryota; Metazoa; Chordata; Mammalia; Primates; Hominidae. The record is from RNAcentral.